RNAcentral lists this non-coding RNA (1340 nucleotides) under Sarcomyxa edulis. Its description in RNAcentral is "partial contains 18S rRNA, ITS1, 5.8S rRNA, ITS2 and 28S rRNA". The stretch from base 672 to 1340 matches the Rfam family "Eukaryotic large subunit ribosomal RNA", at positions 1 to 648 of the family's 3401-position model. Lineage: Eukaryota; Fungi; Basidiomycota; Agaricomycetes; Agaricales; Mycenaceae. The record is from RNAcentral.
UUUCCGUAGGUGAACCUGCGGAAGGAUCAUUAUUGAAUUUCAAGAGAGAUGGUUGUCGCUGGCUUUCAGGAGCAUGUGCACGCCUCUCUUCUUAGUUCUCACAUUCACCUGUGCACCUCUUGUAGACCCGAGACAAACUCUUGUCGAGGAAACUCGGAUGUGAAGGUUGCGGGCCUCUUCGGACGGUCGGCUUCCCUCUAAUCGUUUGACUCGCGCGUCUACGUUUUUACAAACCCUUUUUAAAAAUGUCAACAGAAUGUCAUCAACGGUUCGCCCUAAAAAAGCGAGCUUUAAAUUAUACAACUUUCAACAACGGAUCUCUUGGCUCUCGCAUCGAUGAAGAACGCAGCGAAAUGCGAUAAGUAAUGUGAAUUGCAGAAUUCAGUGAAUCAUCGAAUCUUUGAACGCACCUUGCGCUCCUUGGUAUUCCGAGGAGCAUGCCUGUUUGAGUGUCAUUAAAUUCUCAACCUUCUCCGUCUUUGCUGACGGGGUCGUGCUUGGACGUGGGGGUUUGCGGGCUUCCUCAGAAGUCGGCUCCCCUUAAAUGCAUUAGCGGAACCUUUGUGGACCGUCUAUUGGUGUGAUAAUUAUCUACGCCAUCGACGCGGACGCUGUUAUAUGGGGUUCAGCUUCUAACCAUCCCGCAAGGGAUAACAACUUAAUUGACAUUUUGACCUCAAAUCAGGUAGGACUACCCGCUGAACUUAAGCAUAUCAAUAAGCGGAGGAAAAGAAACUAACAAGGAUUCCCCUAGUAACUGCGAGUGAAGCGGGAAAAGCUCAAAUUUAAAAUCUGGCGGUCCUCGCGGCCGUCCGAGUUGUAAUCUAGAGAAGUGCUAUCCGCGCUGGACCGUGUACAAGUCUCCUGGAAUGGAGCGUCAUAGAGGGUGAGAAUCCCGUCUUUGACACGGACUGCCAGGGCUUUGUGAUGCGCUCUCGAAGAGUCGAGUUGUUUGGGAAUGCAGCUCAAAAUGGGUGGUAAAUUCCAUCUAAAGCUAAAUAUUGGCGAGAGACCGAUAGCGAACAAGUACCGUGAGGGAAAGAUGAAAAGAACUUUGGAAAGAGAGUUAAACAGUACGUGAAAUUGUUGAAAGGGAAACGCUUGAAGUCAGUCGCGUCGUUCAGGGAUCAACCUUGCAUUUUUGCUGGGCGUACUUCCUGUUUGACGGGUCAGCAUCAAUUUUGACCGUCGGAUAAAGGCUUGGGGAAUGUGGCAUCUUCGGAUGUGUUAUAGCCCUGGGUCGCAUACGACGGUUGGGAUUGAGGAACUCAGCACGCCGCAAGGCCGGGUGUUCGCACCACGUACGUGCUUAGGAUGCUGGCAUAAUGGCUUUAAUCGAC